UCGGGAAUAUUGCGCAAUGGAGGAAACUCUGACGCAGUGACGCCGCGUGCAGGAAGAAGGUUUUCGGAUUGUAAACUGCUUUAGACAGGGAAGAAAAAAGACAGUACCUGUAGAAUAAGCUCCGGCUAACUACGUGCCAGCAGCCGCGGUAAUACGUAGGGAGCGAGCGUUAUCCGGAUUUAUUGGGUGUAAAGGGUGCGUAGACGGGAAAUUAAGUUAGUUGUGAAAUCCCACGGCUCAACUGUGGAACUGCAACUAAAACUGAUUUUCUUGAGUACUGGAGAGGAAAGUGGAAUUCCUAGUGUAGCGGUGAAAUGCGUAGAUAUUAGGAGGAACACCAGUGGC
Molecule: ribosomal RNA, 345 nt
Filed under: uncultured Acetivibrio sp.
Lineage: Bacteria; Bacillati; Bacillota; Clostridia; Acetivibrionales; Acetivibrionaceae
Description: bacterial SSU rRNA
Rfam family: Bacterial small subunit ribosomal RNA
Source: RNAcentral